This 743-nucleotide ribosomal RNA is filed under the name Pediococcus acidilactici. Its description in RNAcentral is "bacterial SSU rRNA". It matches the Rfam family "Bacterial small subunit ribosomal RNA", at positions 28 to 726 of the family's 1533-position model. The record is from RNAcentral. Lineage: Bacteria; Bacillati; Bacillota; Bacilli; Lactobacillales; Lactobacillaceae.
GAUGAACGCUGGCGGCGUGCCUAAUACAUGCAAGUCGAACGAACUUCCGUUAAUUGAUCAGGACGUGCUUGCACUGAAUGAGAUUUUAACACGAAGUGAGUGGCGGACGGGUGAGUAACACGUGGGUAACCUGCCCAGAAGCAGGGGAUAACACCUGGAAACAGAUGCUAAUACCGUAUAACAGAGAAAACCGCCUGGUUUUCUUUUAAAAGAUGGCUCUGCUAUCACUUCUGGAUGGACCCGCGGCGCAUUAGCUAGUUGGUGAGGUAACGGCUCACCAAGGCGAUGAUGCGUAGCCGACCUGAGAGGGUAAUCGGCCACAUUGGGACUGAGACACGGCCCAGACUCCUACGGGAGGCAGCAGUAGGGAAUCUUCCACAAUGGACGCAAGUCUGAUGGAGCAACGCCGCGUGAGUGAAGAAGGGUUUCGGCUCGUAAAGCUCUGUUGUUAAAGAAGAACGUGGGUGAGAGUAACUGUUCACCCAGUGACGGUAUUUAACCAGAAAGCCACGGCUAACUACGUGCCAGCAGCCGCGGUAAUACGUAGGUGGCAAGCGUUAUCCGGAUUUAUUGGGCGUAAAGCGAGCGCAGGCGGUCUUUUAAGUCUAAUGUGAAAGCCUUCGGCUCAACCGAAGAAGUGCAUUGGAAACUGGGAGACUUGAGUGCAGAAGAGGACAGUGGAACUCCAUGUGUAGCGGUGAAAUGCGUAGAUAUAUGGAAGAACACCAGUGGCGAAGGCGGCU